AUGCAAGAAAUGCGAGGAAACUUCCCCUAAUUGCCCGGUGUGCAGUGGCUGAGGACAGCAGCCUCCUUGGUAGUGUGCGUGGCCUGUUGCCUGCACGGGUUGCCCUAAGGGACCUUGCAGACAGCC
This 126-nucleotide small nucleolar RNA is filed under the name Dasypus novemcinctus (nine-banded armadillo). RNAcentral describes it as "Small nucleolar RNA SNORA70 (ENSDNOG00000045880.1)". It matches the Rfam family "Small nucleolar RNA SNORA70". From Rfam's summary of the family: snoRNA U70 seems to be exclusive to mammals and is a member of the H/ACA class of snoRNA which contain H (ANANNA) and ACA box motifs. H/ACA box snoRNAs are involved in the conversion of uridines to pseudouridines (5-ribosyluracil) a constituent of structural RNAs (transfer, ribosomal, small nuclear, and small nucleolar). Lineage: Eukaryota; Metazoa; Chordata; Mammalia; Cingulata; Dasypodidae. The record is from RNAcentral.